CGAACGGGUGAGUAACGCGUGAGGAACCUGCCUCAAAGGGGGGACAACAGUUGGAAACGACUGCUAAUACCGCAUAAGCCCACGGGUCGGCAUCGACCAGAGGGAAAAGGAGCAAUCCGCUUUGAGAUGGCCUCGCGUCCGAUUAGCUAGUUGGUGAGGUAAUGGCCCACCAAGGCAACGAUCGGUAGCCGGACUGAGAGGUUGAACGGCCACAUUGGGACUGAGACACGGCCCAG
Molecule: ribosomal RNA, 236 nt
Filed under: uncultured bacterium
Lineage: Bacteria
Description: partial 16S ribosomal RNA
Rfam family: Bacterial small subunit ribosomal RNA
Source: RNAcentral